Molecule: ribosomal RNA, 820 nt
Filed under: uncultured bacterium
Lineage: Bacteria
Description: bacterial SSU rRNA
Rfam family: Bacterial small subunit ribosomal RNA
Source: RNAcentral
AACGAACGCUGGCGGCAGGCCUAAAACAUGCAAGUCGAACGAACUCUUCGGAGUUAGUGGCGCACGGGUGAGUAACGCGUGGGAAUAUGCCCUUCACUGCGGAAUAACAGUUGGAAACGACUGAUAAUACCGCAUAACGUCUUCGGACCAAAGAUUUAUCGGUGAAGGAUUAGCCCGCGUUAGAUUAGAUAGUUGGUGGGGUAAAGGCCUACCAAGUCGACGAUCUAUAGCUGAUUUGAGAGGAUGAUCAGCCACACUGGUACUGAGACACGGACCAGACUCCUACGGGAGGCAGCAGUUAGGAAUAUUGGACAAUGGGCGAAAGCCUGAUCCAGCCAUGCCGCGUGAGUGAAGACGGCCUUAGGGUUGUAAAGCUCUUUCAGGUGUGAGGAUAAUGACAGUAACACCAGAAGAAGCCCCGGCUAAAUUCGUGCCAGCAGCCGCGGUAAUACGAAUGGGGCGAGCGUUGUUCGGAAUCACUGGGCGUAAAGCGUAUGUAGGCGGAAUUGAAAGUCAGAAGUGAAAUCCCAGGGCUUAACCCUGGAACUGCUUUUGAAACUUCAAUUCUAGAGUUCUGGAGAGGCAAGGGGAAUUCCGAGUGUAGAGGUGAAAUUCGCAGAUAUUCGGAGGAACACCAGUGGCGUAGGCGCCUUGCUGGACAGAUACUGACGCUGAGAUACGAAAGCGUGGGGAGCAAACAGGAUUAGAUACCCUGGUAGUCCACGCCGUAAACUAUGUGUGCUAGUUGUCGGGCCCUUAGGGUUCGGUGACGCCGCUNACGCAUUAAGCACACCGCCUGGGGAGUACGGUCGCAAGAUUA